AACGAACGCUGGCGGCAUGCCUAACACAUGCAAGUCGAACGAGACCUUCGGGUCUAGUGGCGCACGGGUGCGUAUCGCGUGGGAAUCUGCCCUUGGGUUCGGAAUAACAGUUGGAAACGACUGCUAAUACCGGAUGAUGUCUUCGGACCAAAGAUUUAUCGCCCAGGGAUGAGCCCGCGUAAGAUUAGCUAGUUGGUGAGAUAAAGGCUCACCAAGGCUACGAUCUUUAGCUGGUCUGAGAGGAUGAUCAGCCACACUGGGACUGAGACACGGCCCAGGCUCCUACGGGAGGCAGCAGUGGGGAAUAUUGGACAAUGGGCGAAAGCCUGAUCCAGCAAUGCCGCGUGAGUGAUGAAGGCCUUAGGGUUGUAAAGCUCUUUUACCCGGGAUGAUAAUGACAGUACCGGGAGAAUAAGCCCCGGCUAACUCCGUGCCAGCAGCCGCCGCGG
RNAcentral lists this ribosomal RNA (449 nucleotides) under uncultured bacterium. Its description in RNAcentral is "partial 16S ribosomal RNA". It matches the Rfam family "Bacterial small subunit ribosomal RNA", at positions 29 to 523 of the family's 1533-position model. The record is from RNAcentral.